UGUAGGAGCGAGCCUGCUCGCGAUGGACUCCCAGUCGACAUCUUCGUUGACUGACACUCCUUCGCGAGCGGGCUCGCUCCCACA
RNAcentral lists this unclassified non-coding RNA (84 nucleotides) under Pseudomonas mohnii. Lineage: Bacteria; Pseudomonadati; Pseudomonadota; Gammaproteobacteria; Pseudomonadales; Pseudomonadaceae. The record is from RNAcentral.